UCAUCGUAGGGUUAGUCGGGACCUAAGUCGAGUCCGAAAGGGGUAGACGAUGGCAAAUCGGUUAAUAUUCCGAUACCAAAUAUAGAGCGUGAUGGAAGGACGCUUAGAGUUAAACGAGGCAACUGAUGGAAUAGUUGUUCGAAGGGUGUAGAUUGAGAUAUAGGCAAAUCCGUAUCUCUUUAUUCGAGACCUGACAGGCACAUAAAGCUCUUCGGAGGUGCAUGUGAAUCGUUGAUACUGUCGAGCCUAGAAAAGUUUCUAAGCAUAUCUAUAUUUGCCCGUACCGUAAACCGACACAGGUGGGUGAGAUGAGUAUUCUAAGGCGCGUGGAUGAACUCUGGUUAAGGAACUCUGCAAACUAGCACCGUAUCUUCGGUAUAAGGUGUGCCUACUAAAGUGAUGAGAUUUACUCUCUGAGCUUAUGAGGUUACAACAAAGAGUCCCUCCCGA
RNAcentral lists this ribosomal RNA (450 nucleotides) under uncultured Campylobacterota bacterium. RNAcentral describes it as "bacterial LSU rRNA". It matches the Rfam family "Bacterial large subunit ribosomal RNA", at positions 1369 to 1799 of the family's 2925-position model. Lineage: Bacteria; Pseudomonadati; Campylobacterota. The record is from RNAcentral.